This 440-nucleotide ribosomal RNA is filed under the name uncultured bacterium. Its description in RNAcentral is "partial 16S ribosomal RNA". It matches the Rfam family "Bacterial small subunit ribosomal RNA", at positions 338 to 795 of the family's 1533-position model. The record is from RNAcentral.
CCUACGGGAGACAGCAGUGGGGAAUAUUGCACAAUGGGGGAAACCCUGAUGCAGCGACGCCGCGUGAGUGAAGAAGUAAUUCGUUAUGUAAAGCUCUAUCAGCAGGGAAGAAAAUGACGGUACCUGAGUAAGAAGCCCCGACUAACUACGUGCCAGCAGCCGCGGUCAUACGUAGGGGGCAAGCGUUAUCCGGAUUUACUGGGUGUAAAGGGAGCGUAGACGGCAGUGCAAGUCUGGAGUGAAAGGCGGGGGCUCAACCCCCGGACUGCUCUGGAAACUGUACGGCUGGAGUGCAGGAGAGGUAAGUGGAAUUCCUAGUGUAGCGGUGAAAUGCGUAGAUAUUAGGAGGAACACCAGUGGCGAAGGCGGCUUACUGGACUGUAACUGACGUUGAGGCUCGAAAGCGUGGGGAGCAAACAGGAUUAGAUACCCGAGUAGUC